GAUGAAGAACGUAGCGAAAUGCGAUAAGUAAUGUGAAUUGCAGAAUUCAGUGAAUCAUCGAAUCUUUGAACGCACAUUGCGCCCGCCAGUAUUCUGGCGGGCAUGCCUGUCUGAGCGUCAUUUCAACCCUCAUGCCCCUAGGGCGUGGUGUUGGGGAUCGGCCAAAGCCCGCGAGGGACGGCCGGCCCCUAAAUCUAGUGGCGGACCCGUCGUGGCCUCCUCUGCGAAGUAGUGAUAUUCCGCAUCGGAGGGCGACGAGCCCCUGCCGUUAAACCCCCAACUUUCCAAGGUUGACCUCAGAUCAGGUAGGAAUACCCGCUGAACUUAAGCAUAUCAAUAAGCGGAGGA
This 348-nucleotide unclassified non-coding RNA is filed under the name soil metagenome. RNAcentral's name for it is "partial contains 5.8S ribosomal RNA, internal transcribed spacer 2, and large subunit ribosomal RNA". The stretch from base 1 to 120 matches the Rfam family "5.8S ribosomal RNA", at positions 35 to 154 of the family's 154-position model. The record is from RNAcentral.